RNAcentral lists this ribosomal RNA (520 nucleotides) under uncultured Glomus. RNAcentral's name for it is "SSU rRNA". It matches the Rfam family "Eukaryotic small subunit ribosomal RNA", at positions 569 to 1091 of the family's 1831-position model. The record is from RNAcentral. Lineage: Eukaryota; Fungi; Glomeromycota; Glomeromycetes; Glomerales; Glomeraceae.
AGCAGCCGCGGUAAUUCCAGCUCCAAUAGCGUAUAUUAAAGUUGUUGCAGUUAAAAAGCUCGUAGUUGAAUUUCGGGGUUAGUAGGUUGGUCAUGCCUCUGGUAUGUACUGGUCUCACUGAUUCCUCCUUCCUGAUGAGCCGUAAUGCCAUUAAUUUGGUGUUGCGGGGAAUUUGGACUGUUACUUUGAAAAAAUUAGAGUGUUUAAAGCAAGCUAACGCUUGAAUACAUUAGCAUGGAAUAAUGAAAUAGGACGUUCGAUCCUAUUUUGUUGGUUUCUAGGAUUGACGUAAUGAUUAAUAGGGAUAGUUGGGGGCAUUAGUAUUCAAUUGUCAGAGGUGAAAUUCUUGGAUUUAUUGAAGACUAACUACUGCGAAAGCAUUUGCCAAGGAUGUUUUCAUUAAUCAAGAACGAAAGUUAGGGGAUCGAAGACGAUCAGAUACCGUCGUAGUCUUAACCAUAAACUAUGCCGAUUAGGGAUCGGAUGAUGUAAUUUUUAAUGUACUCAUUCGGCGCCUUAA